This is an RNA transcript of Bombus impatiens (common eastern bumble bee), 1818 nucleotides long. It is a transcript of the gene named protoheme IX farnesyltransferase, mitochondrial, with no coding region annotated. The transcript has 8 exons. The record is from RefSeq and is a predicted model, not a curated record. NCBI's taxonomy places the organism in Eukaryota, Metazoa, Arthropoda, Insecta, Hymenoptera, Apidae.
AUACGCUGAUACGUUUAGGAUUUCAUUUCACAGUCUCUUUCAUUCGGUCCAACUAGACCGAGCAUGAUCCGAGCUCUCGUUCAGUGUAAUGAGUUUCUAUUCGAUUAUUUAAGCAAGCGUAGACUGUAAUAGUCUAGUAAAAUUAUUUAAAGUUUCAGCGCAAUGUGUUUUUGUUCAAAGCUUUCUUACGUAACGCGAACUAAAAGUUGUAAAAACAAAAAUAUAUCAUGAUGAUAGAAAAAAGGAAACACUGACGAUUUUAUACGACGUAUUUUUAUCAUGUUAUUUAUUUUUUGCCCAAUCAGGAUCUCCCGUAACAUAUGUCUAUCAUCGUUGAAACUGUCUAUCGUUCCAUAUUCUACCGAGGCUACAUCAAGCGUAAAGAAAUUAUCCCGUACACAGAAAUACCAAUGUUUAUUAGACACAAAAAAUGUCAAAAAUCAGAAGAUAUCACCUAACUUUGUUACAUCGUUUGAUCACCAAAAGCCUACCCAAUGUGUAGAUAUAACGAACAAUGAAAAGCAAAAGAAUUUAUAUAUGCAAAAUAAACAGGAAUGGCAGUGUAUAAAAUUAGAUUCUGGCAAACUUCGAAAACAUUGUUUCAUGUUAUCUAAGAUACGGUUAACAUCUUUGGUAGUUGUAACAACCAUGGCUGGAUAUGCAUUAGCACCAGGGCCUUUCGAUGCUUUUACAUUUGUCGCAUGUUCUAUGGGUACUGGAUUAGUGUCUGCAACAGCAAAUGCUAUCAAUCAAUUUUUUGAAGUUCCGUUUGAUGCACAGAUGUCAAGAACAAAGAACAGAGUGUUGGUUAGAGGUUACUUAACACCCGGCCAUGCAAUAAUUUUUGCAACGGUAUCUGGCUUUAGUGGAUUAUUAUUAUUAUAUACCCAAGUUAAUGAAUUAACAGCUACUUUGGGAGCAGCUAAUCUGCUUCUGUACACUCUUAUUUAUACUCCUAUGAAACGCAUUAGUAUUCUAAAUACUUGGGUGGGUUCCAUAGUUGGAGCCAUACCACCAUUAAUGGGUUGGGCAUCUUGUGUUGGCAAUAUAAUAUCUCCAGGUGCUUGGAUAAUGUCUGGUCUAUUAUAUGCAUGGCAGUUUCCUCAUUUCAAUGCUUUAUCAUGGAAUUUGAGGCCGGACUAUUCACGUGCCGGUUAUAGAAUGAUGGCAGUCACGAAUCCAAAGCUUUGUCGUAAAACAGCAUUACGUUAUACCGCUGCAUUAAUGGGUCUUUGUUAUUUAGCACCAGUUUGUGAUGUAACAAAUUAUUGGUUUGCCUUGUUAUCGACACCACUUAAUGCAUAUUUUCUUUACCUUGCUUGGGAAUUUCACAAGCACUCUGAUAGUAAAAGUUCUCGCAAACUGUUUCAUUUUUCAUUGAUUCAUUUACCUGUUCUUAUAGUUCUUAUGCUUAUAAAUAAGAAACAGUGGUAUAGUGAUGACAAUGGACGGAGAGAUAUGAUACCUUCCGAAAAAAAGGCGAUAUUUACACAGUUUUAAUGAAAACGAUUGCAUCGACAUUUUCGAGCACUUAAUAAACUACCUUGAAAUUUACGUCAUGAUACUAUAGGAAUCAUAAUAAGCUCUUUUGUAUAUUCUCCUCUGGAAGAUGACGUAUAUAUGGUUGGCACAACCAGGGAGGUAGUUUUAAGUUAUGAUCUGAAAUAUAGAAUGCAAGUAAGUAACAACGGUCAUACUUUGGUGGUAUAUCACGAUAGUGUAAUUAAAAAUACAAAGGAAAGGUGUAUACACAGCCAGAAGGAAAGUGGAUGUAUAUAUGCCAUACGAAUGAAGAAUAAUGUAUAUGAUGGAAUAUAA